UGCUGCUGCUUUCAACAAGUGACCGUGUGACAACAUUAGCACAUCUGAGGGCACUGCCUGUGUGUACAGCAUCGCCUUGCCAGAGACAACUUCAGCAUGAAAACGGGACCACGGAGCAGAAACGUGUCUGCUGGUAACCGAAGCAAUGGCAGCUGCAUUGUGUGAGAUUCUUCUGCUGACACUUAUUGGAAAUCUUCAAAUGCACAAGAGGCAUGUUGGGAUUAUUGUACAGCCACGGACCUCAUUUUGAAGGCGUUCCUCCUUCCAGACAGGCGUUUACGAAAAGCACAACCAGAUCAACACCAGAAAGCCGGCUGCAUGCUGUGGGUAACGCAGUGCAAUGGUCACACCGACAUUCACACAGACCGUCCCUCAAGUCAUUCUGUAGCUCCUCUCUGUUAACAGCCCCUGCAUGCAGCAGCUGAGAUCUGCCGCAGUCCAGAAUAAUCACUCUUCGUCACAGCUCAAAAAAUGUGACUGAAGAAAAGAACAUUCAAAUGUGACUUUUCCGCUCUUUCCAAGCGGAGAUGUAACAACAUCUAGGCACUAUUCUACUUUCCAGAAGCUGAUUAAUGAAGGAGGACCGAUGGAUUUAAAACAGAAAGCGAAGAAACUCUAAGCACUGAAAGGAAUAUUUCCUUGUCUGAAAAGGUUCUGUAGGUAUUGCAUUUAUUCAGGGAUUCAUUGUCUAUUGGAACAAGUCUGACAACUGUCUGAAUGGAAACUUUGUGAAAUGUGGAUCCUAAAAUUCUCUUCUGUAUACAGGUCAGGUGUUUAGCAUGCAAAACCCUGUGGAAGCCAGGCCUUGUCUUUGUUACUCCCUGGUAGAAGUUCAAAGCCUUGCAUAAAAUGUGAUAAAAGGCCUCUAAUUCUGUUUAAAAUAUGUAAAGAAGUUCCGAUUACUUACAUA
Long non-coding RNA from Lepisosteus oculatus (spotted gar), 910 nucleotides. RefSeq lists it as uncharacterized. Lineage: Eukaryota; Metazoa; Chordata; Actinopteri; Semionotiformes; Lepisosteidae. The record is from RefSeq and is a predicted model, not a curated record.